Molecule: ribosomal RNA, 253 nt
Filed under: uncultured bacterium
Lineage: Bacteria
Description: partial 16S ribosomal RNA
Rfam family: Bacterial small subunit ribosomal RNA
Source: RNAcentral
UACGUAGGGACCAAGCGUUGUUCGGAUUUACUGGGCGUAAAGGGCGCGUAGGCGGCGAAUCAAGUCAGCUGUGAAAUCUCCGAGCUUAACUCGGAACGGUCAGCUGAUACUGUUUUGCUAGAGUGCAGAAAGGGCAACCGGAAUUCUUGGUGUAGCGGUGAAAUGCGUAGAUAUCAAGAGGAACACCAGUGGCGAAGGCGGCCCACUGGCCCGAUACUGACGCUGAGGUGCGAAAGCGUGGGGAGCAAACAGG